This 38-nucleotide non-coding RNA is filed under the name Schistosoma bovis. RNAcentral also lists the same sequence under 1 other name. Lineage: Eukaryota; Metazoa; Platyhelminthes; Trematoda; Strigeidida; Schistosomatidae. The record is from RNAcentral.
AUUCAGGUGACGAGUCCCAAAUAGGACGAAACGUGAAU